ACAGGGUGACAGCCCCGUACACAAAAAUGCACAUAUUGUGAGCUUGAUGAGUAGGGCGGGACACGUGGUAUCCUGUCUGAAUAUGGGGGGACCAUCCUCCAAGGCUAAAUACUCCUGACUGACCGAUAGUGAACCAGUACCGUGAGGGAAAGGCGAAAAGAACCCCGGCGAGGGGAGUGAAAAAGAACCUGAAACCGUGUACGUACAAGCAGUGGGAGCACGCUUAGGCGUGUGACUGCGUACCUUUUGUAUAAUGGGUCAGCGACUUAUAUUCUGUAGCAAGGUUAACCGAAUAGGGGAGCCGAAGGGAAACCGAGUCUUAACUGGGCGUUAAGUUGCAGGGUAUAGACCCGAAACCCGGUGAUCUAGCCAUGGGCAGGUUGAAGGUUGGGUAACACUAACUGGAGGACCGAACCGACUAAUGUUGAAAAAUUAGCGGAUGACUUGUGGCUGGGGGUGAAAGGCCAAUCAAACCGGGAGAUAGCUGGUUCUCCCCGAAAGCUAUUUAGGUAGCGCCUCGUGAAUUCAUCUCCGGGGGUAGAGCACUGUUUCGGCAAGGGGGUCAUCCCGACUUACCAACCCGAUGCAAACUGCGAAUACCGGAGAAUGUUAUCACGGGAGACACACGGCGGGUGCUAACGUCCGUCGUGAAGAGGGAAACAACCCAGACCGCCAGCUAAGGUCCCAAAGUCAUGGUUAAGUGGGAAACGAUGUGGGAAGGCCCAGACAGCCAGGAUGUUGGCUUAGAAGCAGCCAUCAUUUAAAGAAAGCGUAAUAGCUCACUGGUCGAGUCGGCCUGCGCGGAAGAUGUAACGGGGCUAAACCAUGCACCGAAGCUGCGGCAGCGACGCUUAUGCGUUGUUGGGUAGGGGAGCGUUCUGUAAGCCUGCGAAGGUGUGCUGUGAGGCAUGCUGGAGGUAUCAGAAGUGCGAAUGCUGACAUAAGUAACGAUAAAGCGGGUGAAAAGCCCGCUCGCCGGAAGACCAAGGGUUCCUGUCCAACGUUAAUCGGGGCAGGGUGAGUCGACCCCUAAGGCGAGGCCGAAAGGCGUAGUCGAUGGGAAACAGGUUAAUAUUCCUGUACUUGGUGUUACUGCGAAGGGGGGACGGAGAAGGCUAUGUUGGCCGGGCGACGGUUGUCCCGGUUUAAGCGUGUAGGCUGGUUUUCCAGGCAAAUCCGGAAAAUCAAGGCUGAGGCGUGAUGACGAGGCACUACGGUGCUGAAGCAACAAAUGCCCUGCUUCCAGGAAAAGCCUCUAAGCAUCAGGUAACAUCAAAUCGUACCCCAAACCGACACAGGUGGUCAGGUAGAGAAUACCAAGGCGCUUGAGAGAACUCGGGUGAAGGAACUAGGCAAAAUGGUGCCGUAACUUCGGGAGAAGGCACGCUGAUAUGUAGGUGAAGUCCCUUGCGGAUGGAGCUGAAAUCAGUCGAAGAUACCAGCUGGCUGCAACUGUUUAUUAAAAACACAGCACUGUGCAAACACGAAAGUGGACGUAUACGGUGUGACGCCUGCCCGGUGCCGGAAGGUUAAUUGAUGGGGUCAGCGCAAGCGAAGCUCUUGAUCGAAGCCCCGGUAAACGGCGGCCGUAACUAUAACGGUCCUAAGGUAGCGAAAUUCCUUGUCGGGUAAGUUCCGACCUGCACGAAUGGCGUAAUGAUGGCCAGGCUGUCUCCACCCGAGACUCAGUGAAAUUGAACUCGCUGUGAAGAUGCAGUGUACCCGCGGCAAGACGGAAAGACCCCGUGAACCUUUACUAUAGCUUGACACUGAACAUUGAGCCUUGAUGUGUAGGAUAGGUGGGAGGCUUUGAAGUGUGGACGCCAGUCUGCAUGGAGCCGGCCUUGAAAUACCACCCUUUAAUGUUUGAUGUUCUAACGUGGACCCGUGAUCCGGGUUGCGGACAGUGUCUGGUGGGUAGUUUGACUGGGGCGGUCUCCUCCUAAAGAGUAACGGAGGAGCACGAAGGUUGGCUAAUCCUGGUCGGACAUCAGGAGGUUAGUGCAAUGGCAUAAGCCAGCUUGACUGCGAGCGUGACGGCGCGAGCAGGUGCGAAAGCAGGUCAUAGUGAUCCGGUGGUUCUGAAUGGAAGGGCCAUCGCUCAACGGAUAAAAGGUACUCCGGGGAUAACAGGCUGAUACCGCCCAAGAGUUCAUAUCGACGGCGGUGUUUGGCACCUCGAUGUCGGCUCAUCACAUCCUGGGGCUGAAGUAGGUCCCAAGGGUAUGGCUGUUCGCCAUUUAAAGUGGUACGCGAGCUGGGUUUAGAACGUCGUGAGACAGUUC
Molecule: ribosomal RNA, 2285 nt
Filed under: Shigella sonnei
Lineage: Bacteria; Pseudomonadati; Pseudomonadota; Gammaproteobacteria; Enterobacterales; Enterobacteriaceae
Description: partial 23S ribosomal RNA
Rfam family: Bacterial large subunit ribosomal RNA
Source: RNAcentral